RNAcentral lists this ribosomal RNA (429 nucleotides) under Gemmatimonadota bacterium. Its description in RNAcentral is "Gemmatimonadetes bacterium partial 16S ribosomal RNA". It matches the Rfam family "Bacterial small subunit ribosomal RNA", at positions 355 to 776 of the family's 1533-position model. The record is from RNAcentral. Lineage: Bacteria; Pseudomonadati; Gemmatimonadota.
CAGGGAAUCUUCGGCAAUGGACGAAAGUCUGACCGAGCAACGCCGCGUGAGUGAAGAAGGUUUUCGGAGCGUAAAACUCUGUUGUUAGAGAAGAACAAGGACGUUAGUAACUGAACGUCCCCUGACGGUAUCUAACCAGAAAGCCACGGCUAACUACGUGCCAGCAGCCGCGGUAAUACGUAGGUGGCAAGCGUUGUCCGGAUUUAUUGGGCGUAAAGCGAGCGCAGGCGGUUUCUUAAGUCUGGUGUGAAAGCCCCCGGCUCAACCGGGGAGGGUCAUUGGAAACUGGGAGACUUGAGUGCAGAGGAGGAGAGUGGAAUUCCAUGUGUAGCGGUGAAAUGCGUAGAUAUAUGGAGGAACACCAGUGGCGAAGGCGGCUCUCUGGUCUGUAACUGACGCUGAGGCUCGAAAGCGUGGGGAGCAAACAGG